RNAcentral lists this ribosomal RNA (317 nucleotides) under uncultured Prevotella sp. RNAcentral's name for it is "partial 16S ribosomal RNA". The record is from RNAcentral. Lineage: Bacteria; Pseudomonadati; Bacteroidota; Bacteroidia; Bacteroidales; Prevotellaceae.
GGAGUUUGGUCCGUGUCUCAGUACCAAUGUGGGGGACCUUCCUCUCAGAACCCCUACUGAUCGUAGGCUUGGUGGGCCGUUACCCCGCCAACAACCUAAUCAGACGCAUCCCCAUCCCUUAGCGAUAAAUCUUUGUUCCAGCUCAGAUGUCCUCAUCGGAAAACAUAGGGUAUUAAUCCGACUUUCGCCGGGCUAUGCCCUACUAAGGGGAAGGUUGGGAUACGCGUUACUCACCCGUGCGCCGGUCGCCGACAUUGUAUUGCUACAACCCGCUGCCCCUCGACUUGCAUGUGUUAAGCCUGCCGCUAGCGUUCAUC